GCUUUGGGGGUUGAGUUGGCUGAGACUUGAAGUAGAAGUGCCAGGACACAAAUAAAGCCAACCUACAGUAUAAAACAUGGCUUUCAAACCAUAGCUUGCUAUUCUUUAUUUUCCCGUUUCCCCCCGCAACUAUGUGAUUCAGAAACCUCCCCUUUUUUCGAUCCUUCUGCAGCCACAAAACACCCUGCAGUCCCAACCCAAAUGAAGGAUUGGAAGUGAGGGGACCUCCUGGCCUUUUGUACGGUCCUCCGGCAGGUAGCUCACACCGCUUCCUUUGGGAAUGAGUACUUCCUACCUGUUGUCUUGCAGUUUGCUGAUUCACAGUUCAGACAUGAAACCAUCUGUAAAUAUUAGCCUAUAUAAUUUGUAGUGAUAUUAAACAAAGUGGUGAGAAUCCUGCUUAAGGAAAAAAAAAUUAAUGGCUUUCCAUAUGGUUCAGAAAAGCUUAACACAUACUAGUUAGCAUAGUGUAGGAACAACACAGUUCUGACUCAAUUUAGCUGUAAAAAUGAAGACUUAGUGAAACAUUAAUUUUCCAAAAUUACGGAGUAUUUUAAUGUGAUUGUAAUUGCCCCUUUGUGCUUUUAAUUUAUUAACAUUGUUAUAACAAAUUAUAACUCAUUGUAACCAAAUGCUUUAGACAUUAAAGAACCAGGCUGGUAUGCUGGCAUCUCGAUAUAAAGGCAAUCUCUGUAUAAUGCAAUCACAGAGUAUCCGUUCUGAUUUACUUGGAAUAACUUACGCUAAUUCUAAUAUUCCUUCUGCAUAGGUAUUGUUACACUUCUGUGUCUCAGGCUGUAUUUCAUGUGUUCACAUACAAGCUUUGUGUGAUGUGUUUCCGUGGGGAGCUGCACCUAGGCUCAGGACAGCCAGAAGAUCUGGAUCAUGUACAAACCAGGCACAGCAAGCUAGUAAAAUGGACAGCCUGGGCAGCAACAUCAUUCACUUUCUCAUACCAGAGCACCCAUUUUGGACACAGAAUGAAAGAAGCAUAUUCAGCCUUUAUGACGCUGAGACCAUUAGCAGUGUUGCUAUUUGAGGGAGGAAGGACAAUAGUGACCCUGGCCUAAGAUCUGUGAUGGACAGCCUGACAAUUUGCAGUUUUAAUUGUCGUUCUCUUUGACCUCCAAGAAGAUGGAAGAAGGACUAUGAAAUGCUAUAAAUAUUGAAAGGGGAAAUGGUAAAUCAGCUCUAAUCCUGCUGCUGAACUGAAAGCAACUAUAACAGUAACUAUAACAGCAACUACAUCAGCAAAUGUGAAAUGCGUGACUUCAUUACAUGAGAUACACUGUUUCACAUCAGGAUUUACGGACUGUGUGUUGGGUUCCAUUUCUUUUAUUCCGAGAACUGGAAACUUUAGCUGCUAGUAACCACAACGUCUAGCUUCAUAAGUGGUGAGGCAUGAGAAGCACUCUGAAUCCAAAGCUGAAAAGCUCUGGAAGUUUUAGAUCCGUUUUUCCCCUCUAAUGUUUAUAAUACAGGAGUAGUACCUGAUGAUAUGCUGUUCGUAAGGUACUUACUUGGAAUAAAACUGAAUGGCUUGUUCA
Anser brachyrhynchus (Pink-footed goose) is the source of this 1547-nucleotide long non-coding RNA. The record is from Ensembl. Lineage: Eukaryota; Metazoa; Chordata; Aves; Anseriformes; Anatidae.